Molecule: transfer RNA, 77 nt
Filed under: Ruminiclostridium sufflavum DSM 19573
Lineage: Bacteria; Bacillati; Bacillota; Clostridia; Eubacteriales; Oscillospiraceae
Description: tRNA-His
Rfam family: tRNA
About the family: Transfer RNA (tRNA) molecules are approximately 80 nucleotides in length. Their secondary structure includes four short double-helical elements and three loops (D, anti-codon, and T loops). Further hydrogen bonds mediate the characteristic L-shaped molecular structure. tRNAs have two regions of fundamental functional importance: the anti-codon, which is responsible for specific mRNA codon recognition, and the 3' end, to which the tRNAs corresponding amino acid is attached (by aminoacyl-tRNA synthetases). tRNAs cope with the degeneracy of the genetic code in two manners: having more than one tRNA (with a specific anti-codon) for a particular amino acid; and 'wobble' base-pairing, i.e. permitting non-standard base-pairing at the 3rd anti-codon position.
Source: RNAcentral
GUGGAUAUAGUUCAGUUGGUUAGAGCGCCAGAUUGUGGUUCUGGAUGUCGUGGGUUCGAAUCCCACUAUCCACCCCA